This 474-nucleotide ribosomal RNA is filed under the name uncultured bacterium. RNAcentral describes it as "bacterial SSU rRNA". It matches the Rfam family "Bacterial small subunit ribosomal RNA", at positions 38 to 507 of the family's 1533-position model. The record is from RNAcentral.
GGCGGCAGGCUUAACACAUGCAAGUCGAGCGGUAGCAGAUCUAGCUUGCUAGAUGCUGAUGAGCGGCGGACGGGUGAGUAACGCGUAGGAACCUGCCCAGUAGUGGGGGAUAGCCCGGGGAAACUCGGAUUAAUACCGCAUACGCUCUACGGAGGAAAGAGGGGGCUUCGGCUCUCGCUAUUGGAUGGGCCUGCGUGAGAUUAGCUAGUUGGUGAGGUAAUGGCUCACCAAGGCGACGAUCUCUAGCUGGUCUGAGAGGAUGAUCAGCCACACUGGGACUGAGACACGGCCCAGACUCCUACGGGAGGCAGCAGUGGGGAAUAUUGCACAAUGGGCGCAAGCCUGAUGCAGCCAUGCCGCGUGUGUGAAGAAGGCUUUCGGGUUGUAAAGCACUUUCAGUGGGGAGGAAGGCCUCGUAGUUAAUAGCUGCGAGGAUUGACGUUACCCACAGAAGAAGCACCGGCUAACUCCGUG